This 85-nucleotide microRNA precursor is filed under the name Solanum tuberosum (potato). RNAcentral's name for it is "MIR8024 microRNA precursor family". It matches the Rfam family "MIR8024 microRNA precursor family". The record is from Rfam by way of RNAcentral. Lineage: Eukaryota; Viridiplantae; Streptophyta; Magnoliopsida; Solanales; Solanaceae.
UUGCAGACUUGAAGACUUCAACUUGCAGACUUGAAGAAUUUGAAGACUUCAACUUGCAGAAUUAAAAAAUUUGAAGACCUCAACU